RNAcentral lists this ribosomal RNA (294 nucleotides) under uncultured bacterium. RNAcentral describes it as "partial 16S ribosomal RNA". It matches the Rfam family "Bacterial small subunit ribosomal RNA", at positions 333 to 619 of the family's 1533-position model. The record is from RNAcentral.
UAAUACCUACGGGGCGCAGCAGUAGGGAAUUUUCGGCAAUGGGGGAAACCCUGAACGAGCAAUGCCGCGUGAGUGAAGAAGGCCUUCGGGUCGUAAAGCUCUGUUGUAAGAGAAAAACGGUAAUGAUAGGGAAUGAUCAUUAAGUGAUGGUAUCUUACGAGGAAGCCACGGCUAACUACGUGCCAGCAGCCGCGGUAAUACGUAGGUGGCAAGCGUUAUCCGGAAUGAUUGGGCGUAAAGGGUGCGCAGGAGGAACCAUAAGUCUGAAGUAAAAGCCAUCGGCUCAACCGAUGU